UUUGUAGCUCAGUUGGAUAGAGCACUGGCUUCCGAAGCCAGGUGUCGCGGGUUCGAGUCCCACCAGAC
RNAcentral lists this transfer RNA (68 nucleotides) under uncultured Catonella sp. It matches the Rfam family "tRNA". Rfam says of the family: Transfer RNA (tRNA) molecules are approximately 80 nucleotides in length. Their secondary structure includes four short double-helical elements and three loops (D, anti-codon, and T loops). Lineage: Bacteria; Bacillati; Bacillota; Clostridia; Lachnospirales; Lachnospiraceae. The record is from RNAcentral.